This 301-nucleotide ribosomal RNA is filed under the name uncultured bacterium. RNAcentral's name for it is "partial 16S ribosomal RNA". It matches the Rfam family "Bacterial small subunit ribosomal RNA", at positions 510 to 808 of the family's 1533-position model. The record is from RNAcentral.
CGUAGCCGCGGUAAUGCGUAGGUGGCAAGCGUUGUCCGGAAUUAUUGGGCGUAAAGGGCUCGCAGGCGGUUUCUUAAGUCUGAUGUGAAAGCCCCCGGCUCAACCGGGGAGGGUCAUUGGAAACUGGGAAACUUGAGUGCAGAAGAGGAGAGUGGAAUUCCACGUGUAGCGGUGAAAUGCGUAGAGAUGUGGAGGAACACCAGUGGCGAAGGCGACUCUCUGGUCUGUAACUGACGCUGAGGAGCGAAAGCGUGGGGAGCGAACAGGAUUAGAUACCCCCGUAGUCCCUGUCUCUUAUACA